UGGGGAAUUUUGGACAAUGGGGGCAACCCUGAUCCAGCCAUGCCGCGUGCGGGAAGAAGGCCUUCGGGUUGUAAACCGCUUUUGUUCGGGAAGAAAUCCUCUGGGCUAAUACCCCGGGGGAUGACGGUACCGGAAGAAUAAGCACCGGCUAACUACGUGCCAGCAGCCGCGGUAAUACGUAGGGUGCGAGCGUUAAUCGGAAUUACUGGGCGUAAAGCGUGCGCAGGCGGUUGUGCAAGACAGAUGUGAAAUCCCCGGGCUUAACCUGGGAACUGCAUUUGUGACUGCACGGCUAGAGUGCGGCAGAGGGGAGUGGAAUUCCGCGUGUAGCAGUGAAAUGCGUAGAUAUGCGGAGGAACACCGAUGGCGAAGGCAGCUCCCUUGGGCCUUGCACUGACGCUCAUGCACGAAAGCGUGGGGAGCAAACA
RNAcentral lists this ribosomal RNA (428 nucleotides) under uncultured Caldimonas sp. RNAcentral's name for it is "bacterial SSU rRNA". It matches the Rfam family "Bacterial small subunit ribosomal RNA", at positions 355 to 774 of the family's 1533-position model. Lineage: Bacteria; Pseudomonadati; Pseudomonadota; Betaproteobacteria; Burkholderiales; Sphaerotilaceae. The record is from RNAcentral.